GGAGACUGUAAUAGAGUAGGGCAUAAAAAAGAGAAUCAAAAAAGGAAGUGGAGCUACAGAGUAACUGGGUCAGGGAUGUUCUUGUGAUUUAUAGGCAGGAACUGCCCAAGGUGCAUGCUUGACAAAGGACACUACCUUGUUGCCUACAUGAAGAAGGCAGAGUCAUCUCAUGCCCAUUUAUUGCUUAAGAACCCAUUGGCAUAAUUUCCGU
Molecule: non-coding RNA, 211 nt
Organism: Pelobates cultripes (western spadefoot toad)
Lineage: Eukaryota; Metazoa; Chordata; Amphibia; Anura; Pelobatidae
Source: the annotation of a GenBank genome assembly